CUUCGCGCGGGCCGUGAGGAGACCCGGGAGCUGACGCGGGGACGGGCGUGUUUCUCUGAGGGAGGCCGUGGGAGGCGACGCUUAAGGGGGCUUCCCGGAGGGAAGUGGGAGAACACGAGCCCGCGGUUUAGGGGCGCUGCUGGCGGUUGAGUGAGCCGAGAGCCCUGCGGGCGCCGUGUGCGUGCGGGGCGGCGCGCGGCCUUGGGGGUGCCACGGCCGGUCCUGGAGUGGGUCGGAGGGUGACAUCACCGGGUUCGCGUCCCCGCCACACACUCACGCGCAGACACCCGCGGCCGCAGCGGAGGCUGGCGUGUGCGCCCCGGGUGGCGUUCGUGAGCUCAGAUGGAAAGAGAGAAACCAGCUAAACAGUGUAAGAGUCCUGCGUUUGAAUUGGAAGAAUCAUCAUGCAUCCACAGGUAUGUUAUGCAGAUAUGUCCCAGCCCAGUCCACUGAAGAGGCCCAGAGGCAAGCCCAGCUCACCUGGGAGGAGUCUCUUCAGCCCUCACGGUGCAGACUGCAAAGAAACGAGUGUAACAUGGCAGUGUGUAAGUUUCCUGUUGUGGCUGAGACAAGUCAGUACUAACGUGGUGCCUUGAGGAUGAGUUACUGUCUCAUCGAUCUCAAGGUCAGAGGUCCAAAGAGGUUAUCCCUGGCCUCAUAUCCGGGCAUCGGUAGGGCUGUGUGCCGUCUGGGGACUCUGGGGGAGAAUGCAUCUGCUUGCACUCCCCAGGUUCCUGAGGCUUUCUGCCUUCCCUGUUCCAUCUUCAAAGGCAGCAUCACAGGCCCCGGAUCCUGCUUCCAUCAUCCCAUCCCCUCCCGCCUCCCUCUUUGAUUUCUGAGGACUCUUGUGAUUACACGGAGCUCACCAAGAUAAUCCAGGAUAAUCUCCCUGUCUGAAAAUCUUUAAUUUUAACUUGAUGUAAAGUCCCCUUUGCUGUGUGAGAUAAUGUAGUCAGUUUCUGGGGAUUACUGUGUGGGCAUCUUUGAGGAGCCAUUAUUCUGCCUAUCAGAAGCUCUAAGUCAAAUAGAAGGCUUUUGGAUCUUUAAAAAAGAGGUAGAAUCUAACCCCUGUUGCUGACACAAGGACCUGAUACCGACAAAUGCCACAUGUGGCUUUUAGAAUAAUUUUAUCAGCAUUUCCUGGAAGGCUCACGUAAUGAUAAAUGGACUAAAACGCAUGUAAGAGCUGCUGAGUGCCUGACUCAAAAAUGUCAGGCGUUUUUCUAGGUAACGUCUCUGUUAAUUUUCCUAGGGAGAUAUCGUUGUCCCCUUUCCCUAGGUGAGGAAAGUUGAGACUCAAGUGCUCAGAUCGCUCAGCUAGGAAGUGACAGAGCUAAGAUUUAUAUACAAAUAUGUCCAACUCCAAUGCCACGCAUUUACACUGCCUUUCAUGAUGUGAACGGGAGACCCACUGGCAGGCCGCAGCUACCUACAGCAAGGCCACACCUCCGGGUGAACCUGUUUAGGUAAAGGAAGGAGGAGGACAGAAGGAGAAUUGGAAGAAGAGGGGGGAGGGAUCCUAAAUUAGAGAUUUAUACCAAGCUGAACUGGAACGAGCUGUAAGGAUGUAGAUGGGAGAUCAGUGAAAAGGGGGAAGCCAAAGGAGAACUGGAGAACCUUUAUAAGCUCAGCUUUAAGGAGCAAACACUCAAGGGAGCACCGUCAGUGAGAAUUACUGUGGUCGGUAGUCAGAUAUUUUAUCCAAAAGUGAAGUUCCAAACCAUGACAGGUGCUUCAAGCCAAAGAACUAAUAUUUACUUGUGCACAAUUGGCUUAGUUAUAUAAUGGAUCUUUUCAGCCAUAUAUAUAUAUAUACAGUUAUUAAUAAUUAUUUUUAGCAAAUGGCUUCCAACUUUCAACUAUUCACAUCCCUGGGAACUCUUUUUAACCACUUUACCCUUGAGGACGCAAAGGGAAGUGGCUUGUUUGAAAUCAAGUAGUAUCUGCUCUGACAUGCCCUGAUUAGGCUCAGCUUUGAAAAAAGGAUGUAAAUCUAAUGAAUGGGUUUGCCAUUAAUUAGUAAGAGGAGCGUUUGAGAAUAUAACUAUAAACUGUCUUGUCACAUAAUACUCACUGAAAAUGUUUGGGGAAAAAAAGCAUUUUCUGUAGCAUUAUUUCUACAGAACUCUCAAAUUUAUGCUUGGAUUUAGUCAGAUAGCUCUGGUCUCAUGGUUUUGUGCCUCCCCCCCACUCCCACCCCUCCAGCAAAUACACUUGGUAUAGAUUUGUUUUACCAAGCUGUGCAUGUCUAUUGUGACAACUACUUACUUUUAGGAGCAUUAUAAACAAAUCUCUGUGAAACUUAUUAAACACUAUAGGAAUAUAUUUUUAAAGAUUUAUUUUAUUUGAAAGGCAGAGUUACAGAAAGGCAGGGGUAGAGAGAGAGAGGGAGAGAAAGAGUGAGAAAGGUCUUCCAUCCACUGGUUCACUCCCCAGUUGGCUGCAAACUGCACUGAUCCAAAGCCAGUAGCUUCUUCUAGGUCUGCCACGUGGGAGCAGGUGCCGAAGCACUUGGGCCCAUCUUACACUGCUUUCCCAGGCCAUAGCAGAGAGCUGGAUCGGAAGUGGAGCAGACAGGACUCGAACUGGCACCGUAUGUGAUGUCGGCACUGCAGGCAACAGCCUCACCCACUAUGCCACAGAACCAGCCCCGUAGGAAUGUUUUUAAGGAUGAUGUUUACUACAUCACACCCUAUCUUCUCCAUGAAAAUCCAGGGAACCAAUUUUUGUGAAGUUGCCAUUACAGGAAGAACUAAAUUUCUUUAAAGCAGCUCAUUUGUUUCUACCUUACAUGUGUCAUAAAUCACGCAACUAUUAGGUGGAUUUAUGUGACCGAUUGGAGCCAACUUCUCUUACAGAGGUAGGGAAGCUUCAUUCUGCCAAGGGCCAUUUGGAUAUUUAUAACAUCCAUGGACCUUACAAAAUUAUCAACUUAAAAAUUAGCAGUAGAUGUGUGGAAUUUUUUUUUUUUUUUUUUUUUUUUUUUGGACAGGCAGAGUUAGACAGUGAGAAAGAGAGAUAGAGAGAAAAGUCGUCCUUCCAUUGGUUCACCUCCCAAAUGGCCGCUAAGGCCAGCAUGCUGCACCAAUCCAAAGCCAGGAGCCAGGUGCUGGUGCUUCCUCCUGGUCUCCCAUGUGGGUGCAUGGCCCAAGCACUUGGGCCAUCCUCCACUGCCUUCCCGGGCCACAGCAGAGAGCUGGACAGGAAGAGGAGCAACCGGAACAGAAUCCGGCGUCCCAACCGGGACUAGAACCCGGGGUGCCGGCGCCGUAGGUAGAGGAUUAGACUAGUGAGCCGGGGCUCUGGCCUGAUGUGUGGAAUUUCAAAUCCAGCCUGUGGUUGCCUUGGCAACACCAGCCCAAAUGACCAGGUGUUCCCCACCUGGCCAGAUGUUCCCCACCCCUGCUAGGUGGUCUGUGUACCUGAUGACACAUAUGUCAGUUAACUAGCCCUGAUAUAAUCUCAUCUGAUCUUUUAUUUCCCCCUUUUAUUUGAAUCUUGUCAUGAAAUGUAUGUUUUUAUAAACUACCUUGAUUCCUUUGGUUCUAUUGAAGCACAUGUAGAAAAGAUGUGGAAAAAAUUAAAUUUCUGAUUGCUUAUUUAGCACAUCCAGUGAAAAUGGCUGAUCCCCCCCCCCCAUUUGAAGAGUGUACUUGGAUUACUCUGCUACACAUGUGGCACUCCUAAAUUUCACACAAGGGUGGUCCUGAGGGACCCCUCAAGGAGAAAUGCACGUAUCUGCUACAGCAGGCAAAGUUGAGACACGAGGAGGUGAAGGAGAGACCUAACUGGGAAUAAUGUGCUAUUAGAUGAAGCUGUUAGGAUCAGAGAAAACUGAGAAAGAAGCGAUGAGAGGCAAUCGUUUGCUUAUGAAGCUGUUUUCACUUAGUCAUUGCAUCUUGCUUCCAAAUGUGUAGUGGCAGAGGCCUUGUUUAUUUAGCAAUAGUUAAUGAUUCUCCCAAGCAAUAUCAAGCAGUCACUAGUAACUGAAAAAGAAUUAUAAGUAUAAAAUACUCAUCAACUCAUUACAUGGGGAAGAAAUAGAAUACUCACGAUAGCACUGAUCAUUUAUUGAGUGUGUACUAUAUACCAGGCACUGUGUGAAAUAUUUUGCCUGCCUUAUCUUGUUUAACUUUCAGAAUCUCAGAAAGUAGGUGACUGUUCAGUCCAUUUUGCACAUGAGAAUGUAAAGGAAACUCAGAGGAGGCCUUUAGCUGGAGCACAGCACAAUGUGAUAUGCAUCUAGAGGUCUUCCUGGCUUGCGGUGAAGAGAUCAGAUGAUAAGAGCAGACAGUUAGGAGACUGCUGCAAUAGAAAGCACACAGUAUGGCCCCUAGACCAGAGAGGGUACCAGUAGCCUCCCAGUAGACUAAAUGAAGGCUAUCAAAUGUCCAGUGAAGUCCCCUGUCAUUCCAGUCCAUGCUCCAGGUAAAGCCAGGGCCUUUUCCUGAUGAAGCAAUGCUACCCAUCUAGGCAGCCUUCUCAGGAAGGGCUGUGGUUUUGUUGUGGGAAGGAAGAGAGAAUAUUUCCAGCCUCCUCAUUCUGCUCCCUUUUCACGAAGGCCACGUCAUUUCCCCUAUGAGCAUGUCGUUGGACCCACUGUGUUGGGGCCUGGAGGAACGGAUGCUGGGGAGAUGAGAACGUGGCAGUGGGUUAAGAUCCCAACACUUCUUAGUUACCUCUCGACUCUUCCCUUCUGUAAGCCUGCCCCUACUGCAUAUAGAGCUUUGCCAUAUAAAUAAGAGCCCUGGGGAGUCCAGCAGCCUGGACAGUCUUACACAGAAAGGUAAGAAUCAGCUGAAAUCUCUGCCCGGUCUCAAGCCUAAGGGAUGAGACUGAAGUGGAUUUAUUGAGUUACCAAAUCCCUGCCUUCCCCUCCCCCAGAGCAAAAUGCAGUUCAAGAUGACUGAGCAUGAUGUCGACAUACUGACCUCACCUAAUUCCUGCCCUCGUCUUCCUCAAACAAGUAUUCCUCCUCUAUGAUCUCCUCAUUGUGGUCUCGGUAAUAUGGGUUUCCCAUAUAUCCCUCGACUGUCUGCAGCUAGAUUAUAGGUUUCGUAGAUUCUCUAAUGUGGCAUGAAGCUGCCACCAGACUCUCGGACUAGGCUGAACCAAGAUCCGAGGAGGGAUGGGGCAGUCAUCAAGGGCAUUACUGAGUUGAAGCAGCAUGAGGCCACCACCAGAAGCCAUGCAGCUGCCAGCUCCAUGCUCUUGAACCUCUCAGCUUCCAGAACGAAACGUCCUUGGCUGGAAACGCAACCUAAGCUAGGAAGUAUUAGCAAACAAAAAAUUUCCAACCUAAGGAAAGAGUAAGAGAGCAGCAGAGAGGGUGGAAGUCUGGAUAUCUGUACACGUACGUACUUCAGAGAUGGAAGAUAACGACGUGCUGCUAGCUGAUUCUGCGGAUCAGAAGGUGGUGCCCCCACGAUCCAGGCUUAGAGGAGGCCCCACAGCCUGUUCCAUCUCUAAAGGCGAGAUCUACGUCCUAGCUGAUCAGCAGUGCCGCUAGUUAGAUGAGGGAGAGCUGGGUGACAGCUUCAGGAUCUGCGUGGGUUCGCAUCACCCGGACUGCAGAAUCUGUUCAACGUGCUUGCCCUGUGAACUGGGUCGAUAGCUUAUCUGAGUACGUGAGGAAAAGCUGAAUCUCAUUCCAAGUGAAAAAGGAAUUGAUCAAAUUGGAAAAUUUUAAGACUAUUGUGCAUUAAAAAUCAGGCCAUUUCAAAAGCCCUGGAGAAAUUUGUUCCAGAAUGGAGUGCUAUAAUUUCUUUCAAAAUGGAACAUCUUGGGGCCCAUUUUCAGUAAUUCACAGGUGAAGAUCAAAUUCCACAUUUUCUAACCGGAAAGAUGCCUUCCAAAUAAAGAAACAUCAAAUCACAGCUUUAUUUGAUAAGUAUAUUUUUUUUAGUAAUGAGAACAGAUUUAAUAUAGUUCACAGGUACAGUUCUAAUAUAAUGAUGCUGGGGCUGGCGCCGUGGCUCACUAGGUUAAUCCUCCACCUGCGGCACCAGUAUCUCAUGGGCACCUGGUUCUAGUCCCAGUUGCUCCUCUUCCAGUCCAGCUCUCUGCUGUGGCCCGGGAGGGCAGUGGAUGUUGGCCCAAGUGCUUGGACGCCUGCACCCGCGUGGGAGACCAGGAAGAAGCUCCUGGCUCCUGGCUUUGGAUCGGCACAGCUCUAACCAUAGCGGCCAUUUGGGGGGUGAACCAACGGAAGGAAGACCUUUCUGUCUCUCUCCCUCACUGUCUAACUCUAUCUGUCUAAAUAAUAAUAAUAAUAAUAAAAGAAAACAAAUUCUUUAAAAAAAAGAAUAUAAUGGUGCUUCCCUUAUAAUUUCAGUAGCUUUGAGCAAUUCAAUGAAAACUAACUUUCAAAGGACAAAUCUAAGCUUCCCUGAUUUUACAGAACUGUUCUUCAUUGCAGUUAGUCAAAUCCAAUAGUUUCGCACGUGCACGCACACACACACACACACACCCCCAAACCUAUAAGAUGAGCUGUGUCUGCUUCUAAAUCACAAAAGUGGCUUUAACAGGAAGAAUCUUCAAAAAGUCUAUAAAAAUGUUUCCUAUGAAAACAUUACAUGUGGAUUUCAAACUUUCUACACCAAAAUAAACAUAUUUUUAAAAAUAAAUUUAUUUAUUUAUCUAAAAGUCAGAGUUACACAGAGAGAAGAAAAGACAGGCAGAGAAAGAUCUUCGAUCUGCUGGUUCACUCCCCAGGUGGCUGCAAUGGCCAGGGCUGUGUCAGGCUGAAGCCAGGAGCCAGGAGCUUCGUCAGGGUCUUUCAGGUGGAUGACAUGGACCCAAGUACUUGGACUGUCUUUCGCUACUUUGCCAGGGCAAUAGCAGAGAGCUGGAUCAGAAGUGGAGCAGCCAGGACUCGGACAGCACAAAUAUGGGAUACCAGCAUGGUAGGCAGAAGCUACAAUGCCGGUCCCUAAAUUUAUCUUUUAACUCUGCUUUCCCACAGACUUUUUGAAGUAUCUUCCUACAUCUCAUUUAAAUAUUUAUUUUUCUUAAUAUGUUUAAAAUUUUUUUUUCUGGAGACUACUGUCUGCCAAGCCUAAAAGUCAAAGGAAAACCAUAGUUCCUUGGUAUCAAGCAUACUGAGAUAGAGCAUUUGAAUAAUUCUCAAAAAUAGUAGAUGAUUUAAUUUUCUGGAGCAAAACAUUUUGAACAUGAAUUUUGAAAAUGUGUGCCUUGCAAAGGUGUGAAAUUCAGCUUGGCAUGUAUAUAGUCCACAUCAAAAAGGAGAAGCGCAACAGCACGGCACCAGGAACCUAAAUCUGCAACAUCCCACGUAGGUGAUUCCAUGCAUCCCAGCACACUUGGUCAAACCCGUCUUCGUAGACUUCAAGACUGAAGACAGAAUAAUUUUCUGAAAUAUUCUUGCAAUAAUUUUCUUCUGUCAAAGUAUGGAAUAAACCCAGUAGCUCUUUUCUCUUUGGCCCACCUCUCUUGCUAUCAACAAAAACAAAAGCAAUACCUUAAAUUUUGUACGAACACAUUUUAAUUCACAACAGUAACUUUUUUCAUGCUGGUAUUUUACAACUCUUAGAAUAAUGGGGCUGGGAGUUACUGAUAGUAACUAUAUAGUUCCUAUUGUUCACCCAAUAUAACUCUUCACUUAUUGAUGUGAAACAAUCCUGUCCUAGAAUUAGUGGAUUGGUCCUCUUUCCCUUCUCCUCCAACAUAGCAGAAUGGUUUUACCACAUUUGCCAUUCAGUUGAAAUUGUUCUUUAUUCUCUUUUCACAGUUGCUCAUUUAAUCUAGGUAGUGAAAGAAAGGCUUAUGCAAAUCACAGAAGUAAAUUGACUUGACUAAAACAUGACUUAAAUGUUUUGAGUAGCUUGUGCUCAUUCAUGUAGACAUCAAAUGCUUAGUGUAAAUUAUUUUAAAAUAUUUAUUCAUUUAUUUGAAAGGAAGAGUUAGAGAGAAGAGGGAGAGACAGACAGAGAGAAAAAGGGAGAGAGAGAGAUGAGAGAGAUGACAGGUCGUCGAUCUGCUGGUUCACUCCCCAAAUGGCUGCAAUAGCCAGAACUGAGCCUGUACAAAGCCAGGAGUCAGGAACCAGGAGCCAGGAGCUCUUUCCAGGUCUCCUAUGUGGAUGCAGGGUCCCCAGCUCUGCUGCUUUCCCAGUCAUAUUAGCAGGGAGUUGGAUCAAAAGAAGAGCAGCCAGGAUUCAAACCAGUGGCCAUAUGGGAGGCAAGCAUCUCAGGUGGCAACUUUACCUGCUGUGCCACAACACCAGCCCCAUAAUUUUUGCAGUAUGCUGGAAUCCAUUGGAACACCUGCUAAUAUAGAAACGUAGCUGAGAGCUAUCAUACUGUUUUCCUGGUAAAUCUGCUGUUGGUGUCAGAUACCACUGCAUGCCACCAGGUCAGAUUUUCCAGACAGUCCCGAGUAUGCCAUCCUAUGAAGUUAAUACUUACCCCAUGGAACUCCAGGUGGCCCAACACUCUUUGUCAGCCAUUAUUUGCUACUAAGAACUCUGAAUGGUAAGACAUGGAUAAGAGGAGUGAGUGCAGAAAACUCCAAAGUACAGACCCAGAUAGAAAUGCCAGGAAUCUGGGAUUGGUUUAUUUGGUACAUUUAGGCUGAAAGACAAUAGCAUCAAAGUAGUAUUACAGCAUGCUACUAUGAAAUUCUAGCCUUUCACAUUGAAUCAGAGUAUUGCUUCUGGCCACCUAGAAUACAUAUCCAUUGAGGAAAAGACUCUGGGCAAGCUCCUGGUUGAGGUCCUAAGACCGCAUUCAGAGGAUGCAGAGAGUGAUCGUGUGUCCAGUUGCUCCUGGAUAUUUUGUUCUUCUUAUCCCAGUAUGAUUUCCCUUGGCAUCCCUUUAAUUCUCCAGAAUCUCCUGGUGAUAUGGUUUGAAUAUGAUUUGACGCUUGAACUUACAGAGCAGUUUAUAUCCCAAAGCCCUAGGUUAACAGUGAAAGCUUAAUUCAGUGGCAAUCUUUGGAGGUAAGUCCUGUAUGAGGAAAUUGGAUUGAACUCCCAUGGUUAAAUCCCAGUGGCUUUGUAAGAAACCACACGGACACAUGAUGUCUAUGCUCCCUUUUGCUGUUUGACACUCGACCAACUCCAGACUCUGCCAGCAAGAAUGCCAGCACCCAGAGCCUGAGUCAGGGGGGCCUGCCAGGUCUUGGGCUGUGAACCUCCCACACUGGAGCCAGAGGAAACCUCUUCCCCUUUUAAAUAGCCAGUGUCAGGUGUUCCAUUAUGGCAGGAAAAGCUGACUAAUACACCUGUUGGAAACCAUAAAUCCUAAACAGAGGAGCUCAAGGAUAGUUGGAGGAGUAGCCACUUCAGUUGGUAACAGAAGUUAAUGAAUGGCGACAGACUCCUAUGGCAGCACUUUUAAAAUGCAAAUUAACACACACACACACACACACACACACAGGUUUUUAUAGCUUGAACUUGCCAGUCUAAAAUUGCCAAAAAUGAAACUCAAAAUUGGAUAUAGUCGGCCAGUGCUGCAGCUCACUAGGCUAAUCCUCCGCCUGUGGCGCCGGCACCCCGGGUUCUAGUCCUGGUCGGGGCGCCGGAUUCUGUCCCGGUUGCCCUCUUCCAGGCCAGCUCUCUGCUGUGGCCCGGGAAGGCAGUGGAGGAUGGCCCAAGUGCUUGGGCCCUACACCUGCAUGGGAGACCAGGAGGAAGCACCUGGCUCCUGGCUUCAGAUUGGCGCAGCGCGCUGGCCGUGGCUGCCAUUUGGGGGGUGAACCAACGGAAGGAAGACCUUUCUCUCUGUCUCUGUCUCUCUCUCACUGUCUAACUCUGCCUGUCAAAAAAAAAAAAAAUUGGAUACAGUAGGCUGAUGAGUAAGUCAACUGGAUCCCAUGCUUCUCCAGGUCUCUUGUGUGAAAAUUAGAGCAGUUAUUGAAAAAGAGUGGAGCUGGGGCGGGCUUGUGGUGCAGGGGAUUAAGUGGGUGUCUGUGACACUACUUCCCGUGUGAGUGCUGGUUCAAGUUCCCUCUCACCCAUGUGGAAGACCCAGAUGGAGUUCUAGAAUUCGGGCUUUGGCCUGACCCAGCCCCAGCUGUAGCUAUUUGGGGAGCACUGUAGCCAUUUGGGGAACCACCAGAUGGAAGACCUCUCUCUCUCUCUCUCACAUGCUGCCUUUCAAAUAAAGAAAUAAAUCUUUUUUUCUUUUUUUAAAGAUUGGAUCUACAAGAAUUGGAGUAGGGGUAUUUGAAGGAGUGGAAGGAAUCAAAGCGUAGCUCCUCCCUCCCCACAACCACCCUUUUUAUAUAAGGCUGUUCCUUCCUUGAAGACCUUGUAAUGCUUUUACCUGAGGAAGCUAUCAAAGAAGGGGGAUCUGAGCCCAUGGCCCGAUCCUACCAGUGCUGAUUGUCUACAGGCCUAUAGUUAGAGUCCCUGGAGUACAGCCCAUGGAAGCCCUGCUCAUUCACUGCAGCAGCAACAGUGCCACCCUAACAGAUUCCUGGCUCUUCUGCUCAUUCUCAGACCUCCGUCCGUUUGUAGACGUCUACUGAGCCAAGGCUGGAUACACCUGAGGAAGCACCUUGCAGCAACCAUGUGGUAACAAGCAUGGACUGAAGCUUCUUUCUAAACUCCCACGAAGGGAGCUACAGCUGUUUACCAGAGAAACCAUACACUGGGAAGGGGAAAUACCCAGACUUUUCAGGGAUGAUUGGACGCUGGCUCUGAGCUACCCCUAAUUCUAGGGGAUGGGGUAGAUUGUUAAUGUGAACCACCAGUUAGAACAAAGAUUCAAAGAGAUCAAUCAGUGGAUAGAGUUGUGACCCACAGAGGGCUGGAUUCCUGACUCAACUCAUUGUUAUUUUCCUGAUUCCCAAAUGUAGUGUUGGUAUAGGAAACCUCAGAGGACCAGAGCCCCACAAUGAGUUCCUAACCCCUGUAGUACCAGUUUGCGUCUGCUUUCCCAGCUUAAUUAUUUACUAUCAAAAAUACUAUGCUUUUGAUGAUAAUUACACGACCACCCUAGAUACUAAGGUAGAAUGGACGAAGGAAAAUUCCAGAACUUAUCCUCCCUGUCAAAAGCCAAACCAUAUCAGAGAGAGAAGGUUGGAAGAAGCAGGGAUGACAUACAACGUUAAUGUCACUUCAGCAGACAUAAAAGAUACACAGGUGCCUUAUUUUUCCUAUGCAGAAUCCACUCAAUCAAAAUGUUGCAUAAAUACCCUUGUCCAGUUGAUUAUUAUAAUCUUACUCUAUUUUUCAAAUUAGAGUGGAAAGUUCAGUAGAUUUUCUUUACUGCAGCCAAUAAAAACCAUGGUUGGUUUGAAUCUGUUGAUCUGACAAGUGCUAUUCAAAAAAAUAAAAAGAGGUUAUUAAGAGACGUUUAUUACAACCCAGCAUGAACAGCAGUGUGCUCGUCUUGCCUCAGGAUUCUAACAACUCUUGAGUUCUGUGCUGCAGUUUGUUCCAUAGGGUACUUGGUUGUUUCACCAUUUCGUCAGGCAUCGUGCUGGCCAACUACAUUAUUGUAUCAUGAUGACAAUAUCUAGAAUAGAAAAUAGCAGUGAGUUCAGGUGGGCCUCUCACCUGUCUGAGAUGUUCUUUCCAAUGCAAAGAACAAAUUAGUGCAGCUUGUUACAUAGCAUUAAGGAAAGAGGUGUAACACUGGAUAGGACUCACUGGUUUUUAGAAACAUUGUAUACUAUGUGUGUGCUUCUUUGAUUCAUUUACAGAGUUAUCCAAAAGACUGUAAGUUUUGAGUCCUGGAACUAGAAAAGGCAGGGUAGAUCCAAACAGCUCUGUUACUUGACUUUAAUGAAUCCAACAGAAUUCAAAGUUCCUGUAGCUCAUUGGAAUGCCUUCUAAGCCCUGUGGAAAUUCCAACAAAGGAAUCACAGCAGAGGCCCCAGGGCAUUUGAGCAGAAGCACAUCUAUUUUGCCAAGUAAUAAUUCCUCUUUUGAGAAACCACUUUUGCUUGUUAUUGGGUCCUGGUAGAGAAGGAAUGAGAGAGAUUUGCAAUAAUUUGGAGACAAUCUUGUGCUUUUUGAUAAGCUUAUGAAACAGUGCUCACCAACAAAUAAAACCUCUUCUCGGGCUCAGGGGUAUGGGUUUCUCCUUACCAAAGCUGGGCAGCCUAGUGACACUGCUGAAAGUCCAGUUUCACACCUACAGUAAGCAGACAUGCGUUUCCGAUGUGAAUCCAACUACAGGAGCUACUGAAAGGCGGAUUACAGGCUGAUCAGGCUGACUGCAUUUCUUGCUGGAAGGGCAAGGUUUGCCAUCACUGUAACAGUGCUUUUGGAUUCCUUCUCCUGACUGCCUUAUAUUCAAAGGCACCAUUUCUUAAGUAGUAAAUUCUCUUGCAAAAUACUACUUUUGAUCAGUUUACUUUAAAAAAAAAAAGGUUUAUUUGUUUAUUUGGAAGGCAGAUAUUCCAUCUGCUAGUGUACUCCUCAAUGCCACGAUGGCUGGGGCUGAGCCAGGCCAAAGGGACUGGAACUCCAUCUGGGUCUCCCACUUGAGUGGCAGGGCGCCAAGCGCUUGGGCCAUCAUCCACUGUUUUCCCAGGCACACUAGCAGGAAUGCUGGGUCAGAAAUGGAGCAGCCGGGCAUCGAAGCAGCAUUUAGCAACACAUGUAGUGGCUUAACCUGCUGCACCACAAUGGCGGUCCCUGAUUUUACUUUGCAGUGAAAUACGACAGUGUAGCCAAGGACUGCUUAAAAAUAGGGAUACUCUCCAAGAAUUUUGUCUUUAGGUGAUUUCAUCAUUCUGCUAACAUGUGCCUACACAAAAUAAGAUGUUGUGACAUCAGUAUAAAGUAAACUCUUAUGAGAUAACCCCUGCAUGUAUUAGCUGUCAUUGCCCAAAACGUUGUCAGUUAUAGACUGUUCAUAUACCUCGAUGCCAAUAGAAUCACAGAUGUCCUAUGUCCCAUUACUUGAAAGCGGUUUGCCUGCAUAGAAAGGCAGGGGCCCACUAAAUACUCAAGUAGGUUUAUUAGAAGAUACUAUCCUGCCAAUCUGGGGUGCUACCCUGGAGGUACAGCAUGUGCUAUGAACUUAACAAAUAUCUGGGUCUGCUGAUCCUACAAUGUCUUAGUCAGUUUGGGCUGAUAUAACAGAAUGCUUCAAUUAGGUAAUUUUCUAAGAAACAGAAAUUUAUUUCUCAAGUUGUGGAAGCUGUGAAGGCCAAGAUCAAGGUGCUGGCAGGCUCAGUGUCUGGCCAGGGCUUUCAUUGCUUCACAGAUGCUGCCUUCUUGCUACAUCCCCCAGGGGGCGGGAACGGGGCAAGGCAGCUCCCUUCAAACUCUUUUGUGAGGGCACUAAUCCAGUCCCACACAGAGGGGUUCUGCCUUCGUGGUCAAAUCACCUCCCAAAGGUCUCAUCUCAUUAUCAUCCCCUUGAGGGUUAUAUUCCAGCAUGUGAAUAUUGGAGAGACACAACAUUGAGACUGUGCAAUCUUUUAUGAGCCGAGAAGAAAUGGGUGGAACUUCUUUAGGUCCUGUUGAUCUGGAAUUCUCACAUUCAAAAAUUUCUACCACAUAAUAAAUUACAGCUCCACUGAAGUAGAAGCAAGCAACAGCCUCUAACCAGCAAUUUGAUUCUUCACACUAUUGGGAAAAAGGUUAAGAAGGGGAUUAUAAUCAUGUCUGUGACAUAUAAAGUGUGUUAUCUACAUUAUGGAAUCAUAUAUUCACAUAUGCACAAUAUCGGAAAUGUUAAAAACUUAUUUUCAUUUUAUUUGAAAGGCAGAGUAGGCCAGCGCCACGGCUCACUAGGCUAAUCAUCUGCCUGCAGCGCCGGCACUCCAGGUUCUAGUCCCGGUUGGGGCACCGGAUUCUGUUCCGGUUGCUCCUCUUCCAGUCCAGCUCUCUGCUGUGGCCUGGGAAGGCAGUGGAGGAUGGCCCAAGGGCUUGGGCCCUGCACCCGCAUGGGAGACCAGGAGAAGCACCUGGCUCCUGGCUUCAGAUUGGUGCGGCGCCGGCCAUAGUGGCCAUUUGGGGGGUGAACCAACGGAAGGAAGACCUUUCUCUCUGUCUCUCUCUCUCACUGUCUAACUCUGCCUGUCAAAAAAAAAAAAAAAAAGAAAGAAAAAAAAGAAAAAAAAAGAAAGGCAGAGUGACAGAGAGUCAGAAUGAGAGGUAGAGAGAUCUUCUAUCCAUUGAUUUACUCCCCAGUUGUUCACAAUUGCCAGGGCUGGGCUAGACUGAAACCAGGAGCCCAGGAUUGUUCUGGGUUUCCCACGUGGGUGGCAAGGACCCAAGUCUUUGUGUUGUUGCCUGCUGCCUCCCAGAGUUUCUUUCAGCAGGAAGCUGGAAUGGGAAAAGGAACUGGGAGUCAAACUCGGGCAUUUGAAAAUGGGAUGCAGGUGCCCAAGCAGCAUCAUAGCCACUGCACUGAAUGCUUGCUCCCGUGAUUGUAACGAUGUUUUUAGUGUAAGGCCAUAAGGUAUCUUGUAAGAAAUCCAAUCAAUAUAUAGUAACAAUCAGUAUAUAACAAUUUUUAACAGAUACCAGUAAAGUUUCUUAAAAGAAGGGACAUCUCUUGCUAAUUUACAUAAAAGCAGCAUGUAGACCCCUGGAAUCCCAGUUACCCAGCUUCUGCUGGGGGUUGAAUGUGACUUUGCUGCCACAGCCGGCGUGAGGCUGCACACACAUACACGGCAGAGCAAUCUGGGGCACCAGGUACUCAUGCGCACAAACCUUGUACCUGGUUGGGUUCUUCUUUCUGUGUACAACCUUAGGACUCCGACGAAAGCAUUCUGGGCCUGACUCUCCUUUCUCAUCUGGAGAAAUGUGCUUAGAGGAGGAUGGGGACUGAGGAAUUGUCACCAUGAAUGAUCAUCCCAUGUCACCUCGUAUUUCUCAAGAAAACUCAGUGAGGGACAGGGUCAUGGUCAUAUUGUCUGCAAGUAUAUUUCCAGGAGCGUGAAGAUGGGAUAUUUGGCUUAUGGAACAAAGGAUUACACAGUGAGAGAUUUUGCCCAGUUCUCUGCCCAAGAUGCUAGAAGCCCUCACCCCACCUAAAGAAAAAGGCAAUCAAAUAAUCAACUACCUAACAUCACUAUAAUGAAUAUGUGGCAUCUUUAUAGAAAUUAUUAAGUCAAUCUACAAGGAAAAUCAAAGGAAAUCGCCUUUUAAAAUGCAUUAUUUGACGAAAGCAGCCUUGUUUCAGUACACACAAUUUCAGUGUUGCAAAAUAACUCUGACAACCUCUCAGGACUCACUGAAAUGAGAGUCAGCUUUUCUGGGCAGAAGAGCAUGUCAUACUGGCAAGCGCAGUGAAGGUUGAUUGUGGUAUUUCCUCAGGACACUGAAAAUGACUCAGAUGAUUUCCUGCAUUCAUUCUCAUGAGCUAUUCUCUUGUCUAGACUCUGUUCGAGGGAUCAGGGUAUGCGGCACAGGUUGCCUGCAGAAGCCUGGAAGGAGGCCGGGGCUGAGCAGGGCAAGGUGAAGUGUUUUCCCUAAGCAGUCAGAAGCAGCACAAAGAGCUGAGAAGAAAUGGGGAUGGGAAAGGGAUGCCAAACACGGGAAAAGCUGUUGAUGAGGUCGGGGAUGGGAGAGCAAGGGUAAAUCGCAGUGUGGAGAGGUCAGGGGGAAAGCUCUCAGCACCAAGCCCACAGAGGGUGUCAGAGUACCAGCCGCAUGCUACAGAACAGUCCAGAAGCUGUGAAGAGUCACGCCGGAGCAGGUGCUGUUAGAAAUGUCCUGAGCCCAAGGUGGGAGGCUAAGGUCCCAAUGACAGCUCGGAGUGGUGAAGCAUCUGGAUGUCAGCCCAGGCGGCAGGUGCUGAGGACCAGGGCAUUCCUGGAAGCAGGAGGGCAGUCGCCCGCAUCUGUGCCUGUGGCAUCCGUGCUGGGAGGCAAAGCUUUGCUGCUGAGUGAUGUCUCCCAUCUUUGCUGGGUCUCGGGUCUACUGUUGUCUGUGAAGAAGAAAGGUGAUCCCCUCUGCUUCGUCCGAUUACACGAGGGCUCUCAGCACCUCUUCCUCUUUGGUUUGGACACAGAACUGGGCUGCUUACAUGUAAACACCAACCAACUCAUUUCCCUUUAUAUGUGCAAGAAAUAGGAAAUUGUUCUCUGACACAGGACAGAACUAUCAUCGGUUCGUAUGGUUGAAAACUUUCUCUUCAAAAUCCUCAAGAAAAAUAAGGACAGUAGUUUUUGUGGGCAAUGCAAAAUUCUAACAAAUUCCAAGGGAAGAGCAAGGAACCAAUCCUUAGACCUGUUAGAGAAACUGUGUGGUAACUUGAAUCAACUGAGUGUGUUAUCUGUAUGCUUCUAAACUAAACGCUCUAAACAAAAUUCAGGAACAGUUUUGUAUAAGUGCUCUCAAACCUUAAAGCCAAACUUCUUUCCUAUAAAGUGAUUUCUGAAUUCCAAAAGAGUUCCCAUCUUUCUAGGAAGCUGUCAGUUUUCAAAGACCUUUUAAAUUCUAAUCAUUUAAUCCUUGGUUAACUCUACAUUGUUAGGUUUGAUUCCCUAUUUAUGUGCUCUGAUUUUAUCUUUUUAAAAACACAUCCUCAUUAAGUAGUUACGUGUAGCUGAAGGUAGCAUGUAUAGUAAAACAAAAAAUAAAGGAAUAUUUUUUGGAAGAUUUAUUUACUUAUUUGAAAGGCAGAGUGACAGAGAGAGAGGGAGAAUCAGAAAGAGAGACAGAGAUCUUCCAUCCACUGAUUAAAUCCCUGAAGGCCACAACAGCUGGGGCUGGUCCAGGCCAAAGCCAGGAGCCAGGAACACCUUCUGAUUCUCCUACUUGGGUGACAGGAACUCGGGAACUUGAGCCAUCAUCAGCUGCCUCCCAGGUGCAUUAACAGGAAGCUGGACUGGAAACAGAGAAGCCAAGACUCAAACCUGCAUUCUGAUACAGGAUGCACAUAUUCCAACUGGCGGCUUAAGCAUUGCACCACAAUACCCAUGUUUAUUAAAUCUGAUUAAGGGAUAAUUUUAUUAAAAUGUCAUUACAUGCAAAAAAGUAUUACCUACUUAUAAACAUAUGCCAGAUUGCAAAAGACACAAAUUAUUUUCAACAUAACAAAAAUUAGUAUUUUAAUCAGUUGAUAUCUAAUGUCACUGGACAAAAGAGACCAACAUUCUUGCCUUCAUGUAACUCACAUUAUGGUCAACUACAGCUACUUCUUCCCAUGUUCCUAAUAGUUAUGAGCUCCCCAAUCUUGUCAGUCUAGUGUCUUCCAAUUGUAUGAUUUCCCUAAUUUGUUCUUUUCUUUCUGAUCCUCUGACCACUGGAUUAGCUUAGAUGUUCACUAUUGCUUUUAAUAUGUAUUUCCAGCUAACUCACGCAUGCAGUUAAAAGCAAUCAGUGGUGAAAGAUGCCUCACAACCACACCUAUUUGUCCUCCUCCUCUUCCCAGAGAGAACCACUCUCACCAAGCUGCUGUGCAUCUUGAUGGCCAUCCAAUGCAAACACAAGUGUCCAUUUGUAUUUUACACAGAGUGACACCCUAUGCUUUCUAUUCUGUAUCUUUCAAAUUAAUGUAUUUGAGAGUUUUCUGUAUCAGCCUCAUCUAUUUCAAUAGACGCAUGGCUAAUGAAUAGAUAGCAGUUUACAGUUUACUAAGAGUCCACUACUGUGUUCAGCAGGUUAGCUUAGGUUACCUUGGAGAAGCAAAUAACCCAUACAUCUCAGCGGUUUGUUUCUUGCUUACAGAAUGUCUGUUGAGGUUCUGGGCAACUGUCCAGGGCAACUGCCUUCCCUGUGGCUACUCAGUGGUCAUGUGUUAGUGGUUCUGUCAUCCCAUGGCUGUACCAUCUGGAACAAGUGGCCUCCUGAGUGACAGCGGCAGAGGGAGAAUGAGCUGUGGCAUAGAAGUAGACCUACAGUGCUUUAGCUCAACACACACACACACACACACUCACACACAUACACAUACUCACAUACACACACAUGCACACUCACACACAUACACUCACACACACAUGCACACUCACACACAUACACACACUCACACAUGCACACACACACACACUCACAUACACACAUGCACACUCACACACACAUACACACACACACUUACAUGCACUCAAUACACACACAUACACACACACACACUUACAUGCACUCAAUACACACACACACACACACACACACUUCUUCCAAUGCACUCACCAGAAUGGCUCUGUGGCUUCUCCUAACAGCGAGGAAAGUAGGACAGUGAAAAGCUCCUGCGUCCUGAAGGAAAGGAGAUUUUGCCUCGCCGGGUUUAACAGACCUAAGAUGGUGCGUUUUUGCGGGGCACUGUGGAUGUCUCACCACACUUGUGUAGUAUGUGACUGUCAGCCAGGGGACUCCAUUUCCUUUCAGGCAUUUUACGUUGCUUCAUAGCAGCAGCAUCCACGGUUCCGUCUUACAGUUUUGUGAAAGCAGAGCAAUCCACAGUGCAGUGGAGUGCACAGUGCCUCUGGUGACCCUUCCGCGCAGCGCAGCCCCAGGAUUCAUACUCCUGUCCAGCUCUGACCUAGCACCCAUCAACCAAGCUUUCCCGUCCCUCAUCUCUCUGCUUGACCUCUCCAGCCUCUGCUAACCACCAUCAUGUUUUUAAUGUCCAUGACACCACCAUUUGUGAAUGAGAUGUAUGAAUAUCUGUCUGUCUGUGCUUGGGCCCAUUUCACUUUAUGUAAUGACUUCUAACUCGUUCUGUUGUUGCAAAUGAAGAUUUCACCCUUUUGUAUGGCUGAGCAGUACUCCGGUACAUACCACAGUUGCUUUAUCCAUUCAUCAGUGGAUGUGCCCUUAGGGUGUUUCCAUUUUUUGGCUACUGUGACGUGCGCUUUAAUAAACAUGGGAGUGCAGAUGUCUCUUGGACACAUGAAUUGCAUUUCCCUUGCACAUAUAGCCAGCAGUAGGAUUGCUGGAUCGUACGUUAGUGCUUUGUUCAUUUUCUGAGAGGCCUCCUUUCUGUUUUCCACCUUCCCACCAACAGUGUGCAAGGGUUCCCUUUUCAACACAGCCUCACCAGCACUUGCUAUCUUUUGCCUUUAUGAAAAGAGCCAGUCUUAGUGGAGUCAAGUGAUCUCACUGUGGUCUUGAUUUGCAUUUUCCAGAUGAUUGGUAUUGAGCAUUUUUAAUGCACAUGUUGGCCACUUGUAAAUCUUCCUUUAAGAAAUUUCUGUUAAGAGUUGCCCAUUUUUUACUUGGAUUAUCUGUUUUUUUUUUAUUGUAGUGAUUUUUUUUUCUUUGCUGUUGAGUGGCUUGACAUCUUUAUAUAUUAUUAUUGAUAUUAACCCCUGUCAGAUACAUGACUUACAAGUAUUUUCUCCCAUUAUGUAGGUGUUCUCUUUAUUCCAUUGAUUGUUUCCUUUUCUGUGCAGAAUCUCUUUAGUUUGAUGAAAUAUGUCUGUUUGUGCUUUUUCUUCCUGCUCCUUUGGGGCCUGAUCCACAAAAUUCUUGUCCAUUCCAAUAUGCUGAACUAUUUUCCCCCUGUUUUCUUCUAGUGGUCUCAGAGUUGCAGGUGUCACAUUUAGCUUUUUAAUCCACUUUGAUCUGACUUUUCUAAAGGGUGAAUGAUCAGGGCCUAGAUUCAAUCUUCUGUGUGUGAACAUUCUUUCCCAGCACCAUUUAUUAAAAAUACUAUCCUUUUCCUAAGGCAUGUUCUUAGCAUCUUUGUCAAAGACUACACCCGAAAGCCGUGUUAGUCUGAAGCUCUUUGAGGCAGCACCUCACAUACACUUCGGGUAUUCAAUAAGCACAUGUAGCUAGCACUUACAUUAACAGAAUCACAGCAUUGAUAACACACUCCACUGGUGAACAGCUUUUUGCAAGUGCAGAAUAGCUCACUCAAAAGGCACCGCCCCAAGUCAGGUCUGAAUCAUCACACUAUUUUCUGGUAAAGCAAAUAUGGAAGAAUGAAUGGCAAAUAUCUGAGGAAUCCUUUUCAUACUGUUUUGGUUCAUCAUCAAGUAAGUUAGAGAGACUGUCAGAUUGCCAACAAGAAAGAAGAAUAGUAGCAGUGUAGUUCACAGCAGCCAAAAGGUGGAAGAACCUAAGUGGCCAUCAAGAGAUGAUACACGAAAUACAUCAUAUGUAUACACACACACACACACACACAAUGGAAUAUUGUUCAUUCUUAAAAUGGAGGGAGGGGCUCCCGUUGUGGCACAGCAGGUUAAGCCACUGUUUGUGACACUGGCAUCCCAUAUGGGAGUGCCAGUUCAAGUCCCUUCUGCUCCACUGCUGAUUCACCUCACUGCUAAUGCAUCUGGGAAGGGAGUGGAAGACGGCCCAAGUAGUUGGAGUCCCUGUCUGCCAUGUGGGAUACCAGGAUGGCCUUCCUGACUCCUGGCUUUGGCCCCACCCCGUCCCAGCUGUUGAGGCCAUUUGAGGAGUGAAUCACCAGAUGCAACAUCUCUCUCUGUUUCUGUUGUUCUGACUUUCAAAUAAAUAAAUAUUUGUUUAAAUGGAGGGAAGUCUGACCCAUGCUACAUCAUGGAUAAACCUUGAGGACAUUCUGCAAAGUGGAGUAAACCUGUCCCCAAAUGGACGAAUAUUGCAUGAAUCCACUUCUGUAGGGAACCUAGAAUGGUUACAUCCACAGAGACAGAAAGCAGAACAGUGUAUAACGGGUGUGGAGUUUCAGUUUUGCAAGAUGAAGAAGAUGAAGAGUUCUAGAAACGGAUGAUUGCACAACAGUGUGAAUGUACCUAAUACCACUGAAUGAAUGAAAUACUUAAAAAAUGGCUAUAAUGAUAAAUUUUAUCUGAGGUAAGUUUUACCACAAUAAAAAAAAGAAAGGUUAGUGAGUAAAACUCUUUACAAAAUGAUAACAAAAAUCUCUGAGAAUACUUUGCAUAACUCUGAUUCAUUAAAGAACUUUGUGGCAACUGACUUGACACUAAUGAACCAAGAGGCCAGAAUGGGGGGGCCGCACAGCUCUAUAAAUGUUCAAAUCUCCCAUGAGGAUGCAGAGUAGUUUGGGAGGAAGUGGAAAACUGAACAAGGAACCAAAUUCUAUAAAUGAGUCAAAUGGGAAAUUUCCCCCUCUUUGAGUUAGCACUCCUAGCCUAUAUUUAGCGUCUAGGUAUCCAGCAUGCACAAGCCCAGCUCGCAGCAGAUGGCUUACAGAAAUGAGAAUGACAGUUAGCUAAGAAGAGGAAUGCAGCUAUCCCAUGGGCUGUUCAACCGUUGAAGUUUGCAAGAGCAGCACAUUCCUUCCCCGUAGGAAAUCUGCGUGGGAAAGCACAUUACAAUCAGAAGCUAUUUAGCAAACACGGAAUGAGAGAAAGGGUGGCGAUGGUAAAGAGAAGAGGAAGAAUUGUAAAGUUUAAAUGCCUGGUGACAUCAUCCUAUAGUAAUGUGAUUUAUCAGCCUCCACAGUGGGGUCCCCUGCCACAGGGCCCACAUAAAACAGUCUCAGGGUGCAAGCAUCUACCCUACACUGGAGAGGCAUGGGGAUGACCAGGUUCUCUGUUUGACCUCUUUUUCUAGGCAUUCAGGCUGACUAACCAACUUUUAUUGACCCAUUUUCUCUUUAUAACAAUAAUGGAAUCAUUUAAUGUUGUCACCAGCUGUAUUGGGAUUAAGGAGACAUUUUGCUUCUAUCCGUUAAGUUGGCAUUUCUAGGGACUGCAUGUUUGUGUCCAUCCCCGAUGCCUGUUUUGAAGUGUGAUAGCUUUUGGAAGUGGGACCUUUGGGAGGUAAUUAGAUUUCGAUGAGGUCACAAGGGUGGAGCCCUCAUGUUAGAAUUCAUGCCCUUAUAAAAAGUGGAAGAAACAUGGCUGCCCUCUGCUUACACCCACCCAAGAAGGCCAUUGAAGGGCAGAACCAGGAAGCGACCCUUCACCAAGGAGUCAACCAUGCUGGCACUCUGAUCUCACGCUGCCAGCCUCAGAGCCAUGAGAAAGAAGUGUUUAACCUACCCAGUCUGUGGUGCUUGUUACAGCAAUCCAAAGAAAAACAGCAUUUUAAAAAUACACUUCUUUGAAAGCUUUUAUUUAAUUCUUUGAGAGGUGAGAGAGACAUAGACAUACUUACACAUGUAGACAGAGAGAGAGAGAGAGAGCGCACUCCCAUCCAGUGGUUCACUUACCAAAUGCUUGCCAAGCUGAGGCUGGGCCAGGCCCAAAGUCAGGAGGUGCAGAACACAGUCCAGGUCUCCCAAAUGGGUGGCAGGAACUUGAGCUGUCACCAUUUCUUCCCAGGGUCUGGAAGAUAAAAUCGGGGGCCAAAGCUGGAAAUCAAACCCAGGAGUUCCCAUGUAGGAUGUGAAUACCUUAACCUCCCAUCCAAGUACUACCCAGGCCCGACCCUGCUUAGCUUCUGAGAUCAGAUGAAUCAGGGUGGUAGGGCCAUAGGUGAGUGCCUUAAUCUCUAGGCUAAAAGUCCAAUCCCUGCUGCCUCUGUUGUAUAGGAUUGUAUGUUUGGCUUAAUUUAUAGCAACAAUUAUUUUACUUUUAUUAGUAUUAGUUUGUCAUAUUUAACUUCUCAACCUUUCCUAUGUUCACCUGGCUCUCUUGACAUAUUUUUAUUAUUUAAUAGGUUUUUUCAUUAGUUCGUUCAUUUUGGUACAUCCUUUAGUGUAUUGUGCACUGAGGUCCCGAGAGUCUUAAACUAACCUGGGCCUGGGGGCCGGCACUGUGGCACAGUGGGUUAAAGACACAGCCUGCAGUGCCGGCAUCCCAUAUGGGCACCGAUUCAAGUCCUGGCUGCUCUUCUUCUGAUCCAGUGCUCUGCUAUGGCCUGGGAAAGCAGUGGAAGAUGGCCCAAGUCCUUGGGCCCCUGCACCCAUGUGGGAGACCAAGAAGAAGCUCCUGGCUCCUGGCUUCAGAUCAUCUCAGCUCUGGCUGUUGCCA
Molecule: non-coding RNA, 22743 nt
Organism: Oryctolagus cuniculus (rabbit)
Lineage: Eukaryota; Metazoa; Chordata; Mammalia; Lagomorpha; Leporidae
Source: RefSeq, a predicted model, not a curated record